RNAcentral lists this ribosomal RNA (297 nucleotides) under Triticum aestivum (bread wheat). RNAcentral's name for it is "partial small subunit ribosomal RNA". It matches the Rfam family "Eukaryotic large subunit ribosomal RNA", at positions 1890 to 2184 of the family's 3401-position model. The record is from RNAcentral. Lineage: Eukaryota; Viridiplantae; Streptophyta; Magnoliopsida; Poales; Poaceae.
AUGGAACAAUGUAGGCAAGGGAAGUCGGCAAAACGGAUCCGUAACUUCGGGAAAAGGAUUGGCUCUGAGGACUGGGCUCGGGGGUCCCGGCCCCGAACCCGUCGGCUGUCGGCGGAUUGCUCGAGCUGCUCACGCGGCGAGAGCGGGUCGCCGCGUGCAAGCCGGGGGACGGACCGGGAAUCGCCCCUUCGGGGGCUUUCCCCGAGCAUGAAACAGUCGACUCAGAACUGGUACGGACAAGGGGAAUCCGACUGUUUAAUUAAAACAAAGCAUUGCGAUGGUCCUCACGGAUGCUGA